CAGCUUGAGCUGAAUGCAAAUGAAGGAUUGUGAGGCCUUCAGAGGAAAAAAUCUAACAAGAAGAGAAAAGCAGGAAGAGGAAGAAAACUCUUUUCUGAUGGUACUACCAAGGUAUGUAGUUUUGUACCAUCAACGGUGAUGAUUGGCUCACUGGGAUUAGUUGAUAGAAGACUCCAUUUUUUCCAGGCUGAGGAAAGUUUGCCUCGCCCUGAAUAGCUACAACUUUCUCUGCUUCAAUGAAAAGGGACAGCUCUGACCUCCAUUCUGCAAUAGAUGAAGGUCUGCCACUCUGAUAUGGGUUAACAGCAGCCUCCCGAAAGAUUACACAUCAGUGAAAGAUGAAUGGAAG
Molecule: long non-coding RNA, 349 nt
Organism: Mauremys mutica (yellowpond turtle)
Lineage: Eukaryota; Metazoa; Chordata; Testudines; Geoemydidae
Exons: 4
Source: RefSeq, a predicted model, not a curated record